GAUCUAACAGUGAAUCGAUUGCAGCUUUACGCCACUUUCGAAUAGUCUUUCCACCUUCUUCCUAAAGCCUUCUGCUUUACUUUUUUUUCUCACUGGUGGUCAUAAGUUUGUCUUCAAUUUCCAUCAUAGACCUGAUUUUACAAUUAGGGUUUAAGGUUAUGUUUAGAAUUUAAAUAACUUACUUGAAAUGAUUAUAGAUAUAAAUGAAUAAAAAUAAUAAUUAUUCGAUCAUGUCACAAAAUUUUUUUAAUUAUUUAAUUAUUAUUUUAUUAUACUUUAAAAAUGAAGUUUUUUUACUCCACUAACAGUAUAUAGGAUAAUUAUUUAUCAUAUAUAUAUACCUCAAACAAAAAAAAAGGACACAAACAAAAAGUUGAAUGGUUUUGAUAAUUUUGAGAGAAACAAGAAUUUAAGUUUGCUUUGGCAGUAGAAUCCAACAACAAUUAUACUACCAAUCUCACAUUUUGUUACAGAAUAGAUAUGAAGCAAUAGAAAGAACAAAGAAAAGAAGAAGAAGAGAAGAAAUCGAGAGAAAGAAAUGGAAGAGAAUAUUGAAGAUACUGAAUCGAAUUUCAUAACCUCCAUUGGCUUAGUUACAAGUAUAUAUGGAAACCCAAAAACGACCAAACACCAACAGUAACAAUGGACCAAAACACAUCAUUUUAAUGAUAUGAAACGCACCGUAUACUCAAAUAAGAUAGAAGUAAAACACAACGUUUAAAACCAAAGAAUUAACAGCAAUAACGAAAAUAUGAAAAUGAAAAAGAUCGUUGAACGAUUCCAUAACAAAUGCCCUCCCCUGAACAGGAUCUUUGUCCUUAAGGAUCAAAUGCAGGAAAGCGACGUUGAAGAUCAUGCAAAUUCUCCCAAGUAAAAUCCUCAGGAAAGGUGUCCACCCACUCAAUGAGAACCUCCACAGCAGCAUGGUUACCCUCCUUGACUAAGCGCCUAUCCAAUACACGAAUUGGUGUCUUGAGAAUAGCUCCACCGUACCCCACUUGUGGUAAGGUAGAGGCACUAAUCGCGGACCCAAUAUGCCUUAUCAAUUGGGAGACAUGAAAAGUAGAAUGAAUACGAGCAGAAGAUGGUAACAACAGUUUGCAAGCAACCUAUCCAACACGAGCCUCCACUGGGAAAGGGCCAAAAUACCAGGAUGACAACUUCUGAUUUUUGAACUUGCGCAAAGAAUACUGUCGAUAUGGUUGCAACUUCAGAUACACCAAAUCACCCACCUAAAAUUCCUGUUCUGACCUCCGUUUGUCUGCCAUCUGUUUCAUCCGAUCCUGAGCUCGAGUGAGAUAAAAUUUCAAAACCUUGCACAUAACCUCUCUGUGUUACAAGGUACGAUUAAUUGUUGCUACUGGAGACGCACCAAUCCACAUAGGGUAAGUGAAGAGGUGGAUCUUGCCCAUAGAGAGCUUCAUAAGGAGUGGUCUGAAUAGUCGAAUGGUAGGUGGUAUUGUACCACCACUACGCUAAGGGUAACCAAGACACCCAAGCAGAAGGCUUUUCACCAGUCAUGCAUCUCAAAUAACUUUCUAAACAUUUGUUAAGAAUUUCUGUCUAGCCAUCAGUUUGAGGGUGGUAGGAAGUAGAUAUCUUCAGUUUGGCACCCAAAUGCCGAAACAGUUCCUGUCAAAAGUUACUUAAAAAGAUUUUUUUUCUAUCAGACACGAUCGACUCAAAGAUCCCAUGCAACUUAUAAAUAUGGGUGAGAUACUCUUGAGCUACGGUAAAGGCAGUAAAAGGGUGAGCCAAGGCAAUAAAGUGACCAUACUUGGUCAAACGAUCAAUCACUACAGGAAUGGUUGAUUUACCCUGUGACAAAGGUAGACCCUCAAUAAAAUCCAUGCUGAUGACAGUCCAAGCACGACCUGGUAUAGGUAAGGGUUGUAAAAGCCUAGGUGAAGCAAAAUUAUCAGCUUUCCAAUGCUAGAAAACGACACACUCCCACACCUAAUGCUUAAUAUCUUUAGAGAGACCCUUCCAAUAGAGUAAGGCAGAUAUCCUAUGACGAGUGGCAUCGAUGCCAGAAUGACCACCCAAAGCACUGUCAUGGAAAAGGCCAAAGAUAUGUCUUCGAAGCUGGAUAUCAUUUCGCACCAUAAUUUUUCCCAAUCUCCGAAGGAAUGUACCAUGCCACGAGUACUUAGGAUGCAACUGGGGCUGCGUUUGAACAUCUUGACACAGCUGAUAUAGCUUCUUAUCUGUCUCAUAUGAAGCAAUAAUGCAUUCCCAUACUGUGGACCAAGAAGAAUAAAAACUGCAUUCAUAUUGGAGCAGUUGGUGAGUGUGGUCAUGAGGUUUCCUAGACAAAACAUCGGCCACUGUGUUCUGAGCUCCCUUGCGAUAUGAGAUCGAAUAAUCGUAUCCCAACAUCUUAGCAACCCACUUCUGCUAGUAAGCUGUAAUUGCCUACUGUUCAGAGAGGAAUUUUAAGCUGUGGUGGUUUGUUUUAAUGAAGUAAUGCCUACCAACAAGAUAGGAAUGCCAUUUCUUAACUACCAAAAAUACUGCAAGCAUCUCUUUGUCAUAGAUAGAAAAAAUUGAUAUUUUACUCCCAACGUCUUAUUGAAGUAUGCUAUUGGUUUUCCCUUCUACUGUAAAAUAGCCCCGACCUCUUGACCACUAGCAUUCGUCUCCACACAAACAGGCUCUUGAAAAUUUGGUAAAGCUAGAACUGGAGCCUGAUAAACAACUACUUUGAGUUGAUUGAAGGCAGUAUGCUCCAAUACUAUCUACUGCUAAGGACCAUGUUUUUUUAAUAAUGCGGUGAGGGGCUUAGCCAGUAUUUCAUACCCCUUGAUGAACUGCUUGUAAUAUCCGGACAAGCCAAGAAAACCUCACAACUCCUUGACAGAUUUUAAAGGAGACCAAUCCAAAACUCCAGCCAGUUUGGUUCGAUCCGCACUACUAGCUCCUUGAGAGAUAACAUGUCCAAGAUACUCCACUUGAGCAACUCCAAAAAUGCACUUAGACCGCUUAGCAUAAAGUUGAUUAGAUCUCAACACUUGGAGCACCUCUUGUAAGUGAAUCAAAUGGCCAAUCCAAUUCUGGGAGUACACGAGUAUAUCAUAAAAAAUCGAUCUUCGUAAGAAAGAUCAAAAGAUUGAAUUCAUCAGUGAUUGGAAACUCGAUGGGGCAUUGGUUAAGCCAAAUGCCAUGACCAAGAAUUCAUAAUGGCUAGCAUAAGUUUUGAAAUUUGUUUUGUACACAUCUUGCUCCCACAUUCGAAUCUGAUGAUAGCGUGAACGUAAAUCCAACUUGGAGAAAAAAUUACUUGCCCCAACUCAUCCAAUAGUUCUUCAAUAAUAGGGAUAGGAAAUCUGUCUUUAAUGGUCAGUUGGUUGAGCUACCUGUCGCCUAUACACAGCUUUUAAGUACCAUCUUUCUUCUUAACCAUCACCAUAGGAGAUGCAAAUGGACUGUUGUUGUCCCUGAUUAUUCCAGCUUGCAACAUUCCCUAUAUCAAUUUCUCUAUUUCAGUUUUCUGGACUACAAGAUAUCUGUAAGGCCUCACCUUAACAACCUUAGACUCAUCUAUUAGAGGAAUUAUGUGGUCUUAUAAUUAAUGAGGAGGUAGACCUGUGGGAGUCUGGAAUAUAUCCUUAAAUUCAUCAAAGAGACUUUGCAAUUCAGGUGGCAACUAAACUGGCUGCAUUGUAAGAGCAGUCUGAUCACAAGAAGCCAAUAGCAUAGGACAUGGGUCAUUACCUACCAGACUUAGGCAUUUGGAAAGUUGACUAUUGGGAAAAAUAUGUAGUGAACUUGGUACUAUGCAUUGCAAGAUACAAUUAUGUCCCAUAUGAUUAAACUGCAUAGUCAAGUUGGAGAAAUUCCAUACAAUCAGACCCAAGGAUAACAGCCAGUGAAUGCCAAGCACCAAGUCAAAUCCCUUCACUGAUAGAAUUAAGAAAUCAGUGGUAAAAUUAUAACCUUGUGCUUUCAAUGAAACUACUCUGCAAAAUCCUUGAAUAGACAAUCGAACCCCAUUUGCUACCAUCACCCUCAAGGUACUUCUCGAUUCUACUGUCAAAUUCAACCUUUUAGCCACCUUAAAAUCUAUAAAAUUGUGUGUGUUACCAGAGUCCACUAAGACCACCACUUCAGUGUGAUCAAUAACAACUGAAAAUUUCAUAGUGUUAUGCCCCUACAACCCUUGAAGAGCCUGUAAUGAUAACACAGGAGUAGGACUUUCUAGAAUCUAAUCUACUAAGUCCAAAUGUUCAGAAUAAUCUUGAAAAUCUUCAGAAGAUAGACUCUUCAUGUCAAAACUAUGUUCCCAUAAUGGCUCAAUAACAAGCUAGUACAUCUGAGACUUCAAACAUUUGUGACUUGGUGAAUACUUCGAGCCGCACCAAAAGCAAAAGCCCUUCUUCCUCCUAUCUUCCAACUCUACUUGAAACAAAGACUUGGAAGGAAUUCUUUGUCCUAAGUCACCACUCACUGAUCCCCUCGCUGAGGCCGAGCUUCCUAUUCCCUACUGCAAUUUAGAAACAAGAAAUAAAGGUUUUGAUGAACUAACUCCACUACCAACAGUGAACCUCUUUUUCACCAGCCCUAGCACAAUAUUCUCAACCUAUCGAGCUAAAUUGUAACCCUCCACAAAUGUUUGAGGCUUAAACAACCUGAGAUACUGUCCUAUUUUAGGUUUCAAAUUGCUAAUGAAUAUGCUUAAUGCAUAGGUUUCAGGCAGAUUUAGGUAAUUCAAAAAACUCAAAAAUCUAUCAUGAAACUGGUCAGCAGAUCCAUGUUGUUUGAGAGUUACUAACUAAAUCAUAGGAUUAAGGAAGGAAUCAAACCCAAAACAUUCCCUAAGUCCCCUAACAUGCAUCUCCUAAGUUAGUUGGUGCAACCCUCCAUGUCUGCGCACAAAGAAGUGAUGCCAGUUUAGUGCCUUCCUUUUUAGAUGCAACAUAACCACCCUAACCUUCGCAUGUUCAUCGAUCCCUUCAACCUCAAAAUAUUGUUCUAAUUUAGACAACCACCCCCUAAAAUUACCACCAUCAAAGUGCAAACAAUCUUCUUUAAAAGAGGAAUUCUCGACUUCCACCAUACCUCCUGGUGAGGAUAUACUCGAAAGACCUAGGUCUUGUAUAGACGACACUACUAGGUGUUCUUUUGCUGAAAAAUUAGGAGGAGAACCUAAAAUACCCUUACCUGUACCAGUCAUCACACCGGUAACUGCAAUAGGAGAACUCUGUCCAAAAUAGUGUUUAAAUAAAUAAUGAAGCUCAGAACGAAGUUCAGAUCAUACCUCCGAAUGAACCUCUAACUUAAUUCCCUCUUGAAAGUCCUUCAAAUGCGAUUAAUCCUUGCAUCUAACUGAGUGAAUUCAACUUGCAAUUAAGAAAGCUCGUCUUGCAUCAUUCUUAAUUCUUUUUGCAUUUUGGUAGUCACCUCUUCCAUGACCAUGAGAAUCAACAAGCUCUGAUACCUUUGUUACAAAAUAGAUCUGAAGCAGUAGAAAGAACAGAGGGAAGAAGAAGAAAAGAGGAAAUCAAGAGAAAAAAUAGAAAAAAAUAUUGAAAAUACUGAAUUUCAUAACCUCCCAUUGACUUAGUUACAGGUAUAUAUGGAAACA
RNAcentral lists this long non-coding RNA (5584 nucleotides) under Gossypium barbadense (sea-island cotton). RNAcentral's name for it is "long non-coding RNA (GBAR_LNC020155)". The record is from RNAcentral. Lineage: Eukaryota; Viridiplantae; Streptophyta; Magnoliopsida; Malvales; Malvaceae.